This is a long non-coding RNA of Nomia melanderi (Alkali bee), 617 nucleotides long. RefSeq lists it as uncharacterized. Lineage: Eukaryota; Metazoa; Arthropoda; Insecta; Hymenoptera; Halictidae. The record is from RefSeq and is a predicted model, not a curated record.
GUUGAGGACAAUUAACUAUGAUCGAUGAGCCAAUCAGUCGAACGACUAACAGUUAGUGGUUGCAGGACCUCAACUGCUUGGCGAGACAGCAAUAUGUGCAUCGAGAUUUCUUUAACUCAUUUCAAUUGGUUCAAAUUAACUCUGCUUAUGUGUAUAUCAUGACCGAUAAAUAGUAAAUCAAUGCCCUCUUAUGUGAUUCGCCGAAAUGUUAACGAUAUGCGGACAAUCCAAAGAAACGAAAGAUCUUAAACUCUUGGAUGAGAAGUUAAAGUUAAGCAGUGCUUGUCCAGACGUUCGUGAAGCAGAGGACGACAAAAAAGAAGAUUAUUUCAGUCAGGAAAUUACGAGACUCAGGGCCACGAACACCGAUAAUGCAUUAAUCAUCUCAAGAAGAGACCGCCUAAGGCAAAUUUACGAGCGCGAUGCGAUCGAGCUAGAAAAUUUGAUACGGGCCUUGGGUUACGCCUUCAUUCCCACACAACCUUGACCAUUUUUGUCGCGUCUUUUUUUUGUUCGUUUGGCGACCUUCAUUGUAACGAAUGAAUAGUAAACGCAAUACUUUCAUCGUUUUCAUUUCGAGUAUACCUCGUCAGGAUUUGAUUGAAUGCGUUUUGUGG